GUGCUUGCUUUGGUAGCACAUACAUGAAAUUUGGAAUAAUACAGAGAAAAUUAGCAUAGCGAGGGUGGCACAUAGGGUUUUACAAAUUUAU
This is a small nuclear RNA of Anolis carolinensis (green anole), 91 nucleotides long. Lineage: Eukaryota; Metazoa; Chordata; Lepidosauria; Squamata; Anolidae. The record is from Ensembl.